UUUCUUUUUAUGUCUGUGAUAAUGCUUUAUGUCUAAAUUGAACUGUUUUGGCAUGUGAAGGAUUUAUUCAUGCUCUGAGUGGAUCCGUUUGGUUCUCAUUAAUUUAAUUUAAUCAUUAGAUAUUAUAAGAUACUAUACCCCAGUGUCAAAGUACCUCCCUUUUCACAGGCUGGAAGGUCAACAUCCCCACAUACUUGGUUGGCUGAUCUUCGUUGUCAGUACAUCCAGUAGACCCUUUUAAAAAGAAUAGCCUGAGAAAAACCUUCUGUAGAUAGCCAGCCAGUCAGAGGAUGGAGUAACCGUGUUUUGUUUCACUAGCCUCUUCCUUCUUUCUGAAGAUGGCUGGGGAACUCCCUCAUUCAAAAUCAAGAUGCAUGUUACAGGACAUGAAGAGGUCCCAUAACAAUGUUUUCUUAUAAUCUAGUAAGCUCACUCACCUUGCUUCUCUAUGACUGUUUAUCUCUAGUGGUUUUAAGGAUGAUUUUGCACAGUUUUCAACUCAGCAUGUGCUGGAAGAUAAAAUGCCUGGAUCAACUUCCUAUUAAGAAUAUUAGUCAUCUGGAAAAGAGAGAAUACAGGAAGACAGAAAAUGAAGAAAAAAACCACAUUCUUCGAAUCACAGUCUUUGUCCCAAAGGCAGCACACGCCUCUGACACCCCCGUCCACUCCUCCUGCCAGCUUCGCUCUAGAGAGAAAGCUGUGAAGAUAGAAUUGACCAGACUCCAGCUAUUUUAUGCAUACAGUAGUUUGGUCCCUUAAAAUUUGAAUUAUGGACCACAUUGCUUUCUCCUGGAAAAUCUCUCAGAAGGGGAAAAGGUAUUCCAAUGACAACAUGAGUGUGAAUUUAUGUGGAGACUAAGCGGACCCAAAAGUAUUCAUUUUGAUUUUAUUGUUAGAACUAUCCGUAGAGAACUAACCACUUCAUUAGCAUGCCCCUGGCACUGGGGCGAAGAGCUGAAGUUUCAUUCUUCCGGACAUCGUGUUACUCACUUAGCCCUCUCAUCAUCGCUAAAUACACUUUCUACUCAACACAACCAGAUCCAAUGCAGUCACCUCGUCUGAGUAACACCUUAUUUUACAGACCUGACUUGCCCCAGCAAACACUUCUGGAGUGCCAAACCAGUGAUGGUUGCUACAGUUAUUUUCUCAUCUGCUCCUGUUUCAGAGGAGGAUAUGUAUCAGAAAUAAGAAAAUGGCCUGAGAAGAAACAAGAAAGAGGUGAACUGCUAAAAGCAAUGCCAACUAUGGAAAAUUAUCAGCUACCUAAAAUCUUUUAUUUCUGUUUGUGGCACAAAAGUGUGGCUCAAAGAAUCAUACUGAAAAAAGAAAUUUUAAACAAUGUUUUGGCUAGGUACAAAUAUGAAAUAAAUGUUUUGGUUGUUUCUUGCCUUCUUUUGUU
This 1399-nucleotide long non-coding RNA is filed under the name Struthio camelus australis. RNAcentral describes it as "lncRNA (ENSSCUG00000004325.1)". Lineage: Eukaryota; Metazoa; Chordata; Aves; Struthioniformes; Struthionidae. The record is from RNAcentral.